UAUUAAGUCUUCAAAAAAUAUUUAGAAAAAAAUCAGAGAGGAGAACAUCAUGAUCUGAGAGACCAUCAACCAUCAUGAAGAAUGUAUUAUGUCUAGAAGGAUAAAAAGAUGAGUAUGAGACUGUAUUAAAUCUUCAAAAGUAUUUAGAAAAAAUCAGAGAGGAGAACAACAUGAUCUGAGAGACCAUGGAACCAUUGUGAAGAAUGUAUUAUGUCUAGAAGGAUAAAAAGAUGAGUAUGAGGAAACAGUUUGCAUUUACCCUCUACUUUUGCCCGUGUGUGGAUUGCUCUAUCAACUUCUGAGUAGCUGGAUCCUAGACCUACAUCUGAAUAAUCCAGCACGGAUCUACUAGAUCUAUCCUAGAACACGCCAUCCAACAACGUGAAUGUUGUCCAUUGCUGAGUUUAACUCAGGACUCUCUCAAAUAAAUAAUGUACCCUAA
This is a long non-coding RNA of Mastomys coucha (southern multimammate mouse), 442 nucleotides long. RefSeq lists it as uncharacterized. The transcript is spliced from 3 exons. NCBI's taxonomy places the organism in Eukaryota, Metazoa, Chordata, Mammalia, Rodentia, Muridae. The record is from RefSeq and is a predicted model, not a curated record.